This 446-nucleotide long non-coding RNA is filed under the name Ananas comosus (pineapple). RNAcentral describes it as "long non-coding RNA (ACOM_LNC028076)". Lineage: Eukaryota; Viridiplantae; Streptophyta; Magnoliopsida; Poales; Bromeliaceae. The record is from RNAcentral.
UAACGAGAUACGAUUUGAGCAGGGUAUAAUCCAGCGAAGGACGAGUAGGUAAAGGCGGGAGCGGCUCCAUUAUUCGAAGCGAAAAGACGUUAAGGAAGAAGAGAAUGAGCAGAAGCUGUGGACGAGAGAUGGAGAAGAAGUUGAAGAGAACGAGGAAGAAGUAAAGAGAAACGAAAAAGACAAAGGUUGAGUAUAAAAGGGAAUUAGAAGCUUGGCGAAGAAGAAAGGUUGGCCGUCGUGUCGAACCGUCGCAUCGAAGCGAGUUUCGAGGACGGUUAUAAUGAUGAAUGGACGGUGAUAAUUAAGAUGACCUAAUUAAUGCCGCAUGUAAGACAAAAAUAGAUGGCGAGAUCGGGGCCGUAGAAAAGAAAUGAAUGGCUGAAACCAAACCGUACAAAGGGUUUGGAAAUUAAUUAAAUCGAGGAUCGCGCCUCAGAUUAUGUCAG